This is a long non-coding RNA of Helianthus annuus (common sunflower), 467 nucleotides long. RefSeq lists it as uncharacterized. The record is from RefSeq and is a predicted model, not a curated record. Lineage: Eukaryota; Viridiplantae; Streptophyta; Magnoliopsida; Asterales; Asteraceae. The transcript has 3 exons.
UUAUAAAUUAAACAUGGAACAAAAAAUUAGUCAGUGUUUUGUUGUGGGGUGCGAUCGAGAGAAAGGGGGAAGAGAAGAACAAAAACCCUAGCAUCACAAAUCCUUCAAAUUGAAAAGGGAAACUGGCUCAAAUCGAAUGCAUGGACCUAGAUUCUUGAUCAUCUAGACUUUCUACACAUGAUCAUUAGGGAUCAUGUGGAAAUGGACUCAAGCAAGAAAGACUAACGGGUCAAGAGGAGAUAAGGAAGCGAAUGCGAAGACGGACGCUCAAGGUACGAGAAUGUCGGCUUAGUUCGAGUUGAGAUCAAGGAUUGUACGGGGUAGAAAGGUCACAUAGUCUGACUCAUAUAGGUCUUGAAGUAUUAAUGUUAUAAAAAGUUGUAAAUCCGUUUUAAUGAUUAUAUGGCAUUUCGUACUCGAACCUUCAUGUGAUCGAUAUGCUUAAUUAAGAACGAAAUUUUUGGGCU